Molecule: unclassified non-coding RNA, 327 nt
Filed under: soil metagenome
Description: partial contains 5.8S ribosomal RNA, internal transcribed spacer 2, and large subunit ribosomal RNA
Rfam family: 5.8S ribosomal RNA (bases 1-120)
Source: RNAcentral
GAUGAAGAACGUAGCGAAAUGCGAUAAGUAAUGUGAAUUGCAGAAUUCAGUGAAUCAUCGAAUCUUUGAACGCACAUUGCGCCCGCCAGUAUUCUGGCGGGCAUGCCUGUUCGAGCGUCAUUUCAACCCUCAAGCUCAGCUUGGUAUUGAGUCCAUGUCAGUAAUGGCAGGCUCUAAAAUCAGUGGCGGCGCCGCUGGGUCCUGAACGUAGUAAUAUCUCUCGUUACAGGUUCUCGGUGUGCUUCUGCCAAAACCCAAAUUUUCUAUGGUUGACCUCGGAUCAGGUAGGGAUACCCGCUGAACUUAAGCAUAUCAAUAAGCGGAGGA